GAUGAACGCUGGCGGCGUGCCUAAUACAUGCAAGUCGAGCGAACAGAUAAGGAGCUUGCUCCUUUGACGUUAGCGGCGGACGGGUGAGUAACACGUGGGUAACCUACCUAUAAGACUGGGAUAACUUCGGGAAACCGGAGCUAAUACCGGAUAACAUAUUGAACCGCAUGGUUCAAUAGUGAAAGGCGGCUUUGCUGUCACUUAUAUAUGGAUCCGCGCCGUAUUAGCUAGUUGGUAAGGUAACGGCUUACCAAGGCAACGAUACGUAGCCGACCUGAGAGGGUGAUCGGCAACACUGGAACUGAGACACGGUCCAGACUCCUACGGGAGGCAGCAGUAGGGAAUCUUCCGCAAUGGGCGAAAGCCUGACGGAGCAACGCCGCGUGAGUGAUGAAGGUCUUCGGAUCGUAAAACUCUGUUAUCAGGGAAGAACAAAUGUGUAAGUAACUGUGCACAUCUUGACGGUACCUGAUCAGAAAGCCACGGCUAACUACGUG
RNAcentral lists this ribosomal RNA (497 nucleotides) under uncultured bacterium. RNAcentral describes it as "partial 16S ribosomal RNA". It matches the Rfam family "Bacterial small subunit ribosomal RNA", at positions 28 to 507 of the family's 1533-position model. The record is from RNAcentral.